Molecule: non-coding RNA, 240 nt
Organism: Coffea arabica (coffee)
Lineage: Eukaryota; Viridiplantae; Streptophyta; Magnoliopsida; Gentianales; Rubiaceae
Source: RefSeq, a predicted model, not a curated record
GCCAUCCUUUUAUUGUUCUCAGAAAAAUUGGAAGCAGGAAAAUCCAGGGGUUUUUGGAUGCAUCAAACUUGGCAUUCAGUGAUUCAAGGGAUCAUACCUCAGCUGCUUUAUCCAUACAGAAGACAUAUCGAGGUUGGAAAGGUCACAAGGAUUUUCUUGCAAGACGGCAGAAAGUGAUAAAGAUACAGGCUUAUGUGAGAGGGUAUCAGGUCAGGAAAAUAUAUAAGGUAUACAGUGUUG